RNAcentral lists this ribosomal RNA (2920 nucleotides) under Escherichia coli. RNAcentral's name for it is "partial 23S ribosomal RNA". It matches the Rfam family "Bacterial large subunit ribosomal RNA". Lineage: Bacteria; Pseudomonadati; Pseudomonadota; Gammaproteobacteria; Enterobacterales; Enterobacteriaceae. The record is from RNAcentral.
GUUAAGCGACUAAGCGUACACGGUGGAUGCCCUGGCAGUCAGAGGCGAUGAAGGACGUGCUAAUCUGCGAUAAGCGUCGGUAAGGUGAUAUGAACCGUUAUAACCGGCGAUUUCCGAAUGGGGAAACCCAGUGUGAUUCGUCACACUAUCAUUAACUGAAUCCAUAGGUUAAUGAGGCGAACCGGGGGAACUGAAACAUCUAAGUACCCCGAGGAAAAGAAAUCAACCGAGAUUCCCCCAGUAGCGGCGAGCGAACGGGGAGCAGCCCAGAGCCUGAAUCAGUGUGUGUGUUAGUGGAAGCGUCUGGAAAGGCGCGCGAUACAGGGUGACAGCCCCGUACACAAAAAUGCACAUGCUGUGAGCUCGAUGAGUAGGGCGGGACACGUGGUAUCCUGUCUGAAUAUGGGGGGACCAUCCUCCAAGGCUAAAUACUCCUGACUGACCGAUAGUGAACCAGUACCGUGAGGGAAAGGCGAAAAGAACCCCGGCGAGGGGAGUGAAAAAGAACCUGAAACCGUGUACGUACAAGCAGUGGGAGCACGCUUAGGCGUGUGACUGCGUACCUUUUGUAUAAUGGGUCAGCGACUUAUAUUCUGUAGCAAGGUUAACCGAAUAGGGGAGCCGAAGGGAAACCGAGUCUUAACUGGGCGUUAAGUUGCAGGGUAUAGACCCGAAACCCGGUGAUCUAGCCAUGGGCAGGUUGAAGGUUGGGUAACACUAACUGGAGGACCGAACCGACUAAUGUUGAAAAAUUAGCGGAUGACUUGUGGCUGGGGGUGAAAGGCCAAUCAAACCGGGAGAUAGCUGGUUCUCCCCGAAAGCUAUUUAGGUAGCGCCUCGUGAAUUCAUCUCCGGGGGUAGAGCACUGUUUCGGCAAGGGGGUCAUCCCGACUUACCAACCCGAUGCAAACUGCGAAUACCGGAGAAUGUUAUCACGGGAGACACACGGCGGGUGCUAACGUCCGUCGUGAAGAGGGAAACAACCCAGACCGCCAGCUAAGGUCCCAAAGUCAUGGUUAAGUGGGAAACGAUGUGGGAAGGCCCAGACAGCCAGGAUGUUGGCUUAGAAGCAGCCAUCAUUUAAAGAAAGCGUAAUAGCUCACUGGUCGAGUCGGCCUGCGCGGAAGAUGUAACGGGGCUAAACCAUGCACCGAAGCUGCGGCAGCGACACUGUGUGUUGUUGGGUAGGGGAGCGUUCUGUAAGCCUGCGAAGGUGUGCUGUGAGGCAUGCUGGAGGUAUCAGAAGUGCGAAUGCUGACAUAAGUAACGAUAAAGCGGGUGAAAAGCCCGCUCGCCGGAAGACCAAGGGUUCCUGUCCAACGUUAAUCGGGGCAGGGUGAGUCGACCCCUAAGGCGAGGCCGAAAGGCGUAGUCGAUGGGAAACAGGUUAAUAUUCCUGUACUUGGUGUUACUGCGAAGGGGGGACGGAGAAGGCUAUGUUGGCCGGGCGACGGUUGUCCCGGUUUAAGCGUGUAGGCUGGUUUUCCAGGCAAAUCCGGAAAAUCAAGGCUGAGGCGUGAUGACGAGGCACUACGGUGCUGAAGCAACAAAUGCCCUGCUUCCAGGAAAAGCCUCUAAGCAUCAGGUAACAUCAAAUCGUACCCCAAACCGACACAGGUGGUCAGGUAGAGAAUACCAAGGCGCUUGAGAGAACUCGGGUGAAGGAACUAGGCAAAAUGGUGCCGUAACUUCGGGAGAAGGCACGCUGAUAUGUAGGUGAAGUCCCUCGCGGAUGGAGCUGAAAUCAGUCGAAGAUACCAGCUGGCUGCAACUGUUUAUUAAAAACACAGCACUGUGCAAACACGAAAGUGGACGUAUACGGUGUGACGCCUGCCCGGUGCCGGAAGGUUAAUUGAUGGGGUCAGCGCAAGCGAAGCUCUUGAUCGAAGCCCCGGUAAACGGCGGCCGUAACUAUAACGGUCCUAAGGUAGCGAAAUUCCUUGUCGGGUAAGUUCCGACCUGCACGAAUGGCGUAAUGAUGGCCAGGCUGUCUCCACCCGAGACUCAGUGAAAUUGAACUCGCUGUGAAGAUGCAGUGUACCCGCGGCAAGACGGAAAGACCCCGUGAACCUUUACUAUAGCUUGACACUGAACAUUGAGCCUUGAUGUGUAGGAUAGGUGGGAGGCUUUGAAGUGUGGACGCCAGUCUGCAUGGAGCCGACCUUGAAAUACCACCCUUUAAUGUUUGAUGUUCUAACGUUGACCCGUGAUCCGGGUUGCGGACAGUGUCUGGUGGGUAGUUUGACUGGGGCGGUCUCCUCCUAAAGAGUAACGGAGGAGCACGAAGGUUGGCUAAUCCUGGUCGGACAUCAGGAGGUUAGUGCAAUGGCAUAAGCCAGCUUGACUGCGAGCGUGACGGCGCGAGCAGGUGCGAAAGCAGGUCAUAGUGAUCCGGUGGUUCUGAAUGGAAGGGCCAUCGCUCAACGGAUAAAAGGUACUCCGGGGAUAACAGGCUGAUACCGCCCAAGAGUUCAUAUCGACGGCGGUGUUUGGCACCUCGAUGUCGGCUCAUCACAUCCUGGGGCUGAAGUAGGUCCCAAGGGUAUGGCUGUUCGCCAUUUAAAGUGGUACGCGAGCUGGGUUUAGAACGUCGUGAGACAGUUCGGUCCCUAUCUGCCGUGGGCGCUGGAGAACUGAGGGGGGCUGCUCCUAGUACGAGAGGACCGGAGUGGACGCAUCACUGGUGUUCGGGUUGUCAUGCCAAUGGCACUGCCCGGUAGCUAAAUGCGGAAGAGAUAAGUGCUGAAAGCAUCUAAGCACGAAACUUGCCCCGAGAUGAGUUCUCCCUGACUCCUUGAGAGUCCUGAAGGAACGUUGAAGACGACGACGUUGAUAGGCCGGGUGUGUAAGCGCAGCGAUGCGUUGAGCUAACCGGUACUAAUGAACCGUGAGGCUUAACCUUACAACGCCGAAGGUGUUU